RNAcentral lists this transfer RNA (66 nucleotides) under Parvibacter caecicola. It matches the Rfam family "tRNA". From Rfam's summary of the family: Transfer RNA (tRNA) molecules are approximately 80 nucleotides in length. Their secondary structure includes four short double-helical elements and three loops (D, anti-codon, and T loops). RNAcentral also lists the same sequence under 5 other names. The record is from RNAcentral. Lineage: Bacteria; Bacillati; Actinomycetota; Coriobacteriia; Coriobacteriales; Coriobacteriaceae.
AGUGUGGCUCAACGGUAGAGCAACUGAUUUGUAAUCAGUGGGUUGCGGGUUCGAUUCCUGUCACUG